UGGGGAAUAUUGCACAAUGGGCGCAAGCCUGAUGCAGCCAUGCCGCGUGUGUGAAGAAGGCCUUCGGGUUGUAAAGCACUUUCAGCGGGGAGGAAGGCGAUAAGGUUAAUAACCUUGUCGAUUGACGUUACCCGCAGAAGAAGCACCGGCUAACUCCGUGCCAGCAGCCGCGGUAAUACGGAGGGUGCAAGCGUUAAUCGGAAUUACUGGGCGUAAAGCGCACGCAGGCGGUCUGUCAAGUCGGAUGUGAAAUCCCCGGGCUUAACCUGGGAACUGCAUUCGAAACUGGCAGGCUAGAGUCUUGUAGAGGGGGGUAGAAUUCCAGGUGUAGCGGUGAAAUGCGUAGAGAUCUGGGGGAAUACCGGUGGCGAAGGCGGCCCCCUGGACAAAGACUGACGCUCAGGUGCGAAAGCGUGGGGAGCAAACAGG
Molecule: ribosomal RNA, 429 nt
Filed under: Chloroflexota bacterium
Lineage: Bacteria; Bacillati; Chloroflexota
Description: Chloroflexi bacterium partial 16S ribosomal RNA
Rfam family: Bacterial small subunit ribosomal RNA
Source: RNAcentral